This 224-nucleotide long non-coding RNA is filed under the name Elaeis guineensis (African oil palm). RNAcentral describes it as "long non-coding RNA (EGUI_LNC066702)". The record is from RNAcentral. Lineage: Eukaryota; Viridiplantae; Streptophyta; Magnoliopsida; Arecales; Arecaceae.
CCUCCGAUUUAGACUUCUUUUGUAGGUCCCGGCGGCGACCGCGACUCCCUCGACUCCAGCUUCUCCGGCGUAGACAGAUUUUUGCACCAACACCUCUCAUUGCUUCACGGGCCAUCAAGGCCCUUAUAGGCAUAAAACCCAUCCUGUGUCAAAAUUUCACCUUCAAAAAGAUUCCAAUUACCUUCCUGGCCAUUGGAUCUUCCCCGUUCGUGUCUCCAGCCGCU